GGCCUCGUAGCUCAUCUGGUAGAGCAUGCACGUACAAAGCGUAGGCGGCGUCCAUGCGUGGGUUCGAAUCCCACCGAGACCA
Non-coding RNA from Echinostoma caproni, 82 nucleotides. The record is from Rfam. Lineage: Eukaryota; Metazoa; Platyhelminthes; Trematoda; Plagiorchiida; Echinostomatidae.